Molecule: long non-coding RNA, 654 nt
Filed under: Brachypodium distachyon (stiff brome)
Lineage: Eukaryota; Viridiplantae; Streptophyta; Magnoliopsida; Poales; Poaceae
Description: long non-coding RNA (BDIS_LNC001188)
Source: RNAcentral
UCGCCAUUUCUUCCCCGGAACAAAAAGGAUCGGACGGCUGUGUACUCACGUCACGUGGUUCCAGAUUGGAUAGGUUAAUUUACCCAGCAAAUAUAUGCUCUGAUUGGGCAGUUCAUAGGAGUUUCGAUUGAUCCAAGAGCUACAUUUUUUUCUUUUUCUUUUUCUUAGCUAUAUGACUAUAUCAUGUACAGCGAGACGAAGCAAUUUUCUUAGAGUCUACUGGGUUGCAGAUUGACGGGUGCACAGGUACGUUCUCAUCAAAGGCUAUAUCCCAGGAGUGGGGUAGAUCGAGUCUACUGGGCUGAGCUUAUGGUUAUGGGCCGUGGCCCAGCUGCUACAAGGCAAGCUGAUCUCGUUCACAGCAGGGAGUACAUGUUAUACAAAUCUACGUCGGUUAAUUCGGAACGGAAGAAAUAUAUGUUAUAAACAAAAGUUUUGUGCAUGUUUAUGAUUGAAAGGAAGAAUUUAAGCGAGAACGGUGCUUAAUUAAAAAACAACAGAUUUUUGCUACGGAUAUGAACGCCACAUUGGCUGCAAUUCUAAUGAAUCCCCAACACAUCUGGCCUUGGAUUGCCCACGUUGUUGGGUAUUGAUGUUGUCGGGAUGGAGCAGAUUGAUGAUCUUUCUAUUCAUGACAAAACUCUUGCUGCUCAG